This 624-nucleotide ribosomal RNA is filed under the name Tetragnatha iriomotensis. RNAcentral's name for it is "SSU rRNA". It matches the Rfam family "Eukaryotic small subunit ribosomal RNA", at positions 1135 to 1778 of the family's 1831-position model. The record is from RNAcentral. Lineage: Eukaryota; Metazoa; Arthropoda; Arachnida; Araneae; Tetragnathidae.
AGCUGAAACUUAAAGGAAUUGACGGAAGCGCACACAAGAAAUGGGGCCUGCGGCUUAAUUUGACUCAACACGGUGCAACUCACCCGGCCCGGACACAGGAAGGAUUGACAGAUUAAGAGCUCUUUCUUGAUUCUGUGACAGGUGGUGCAUGGCCGUUUCUAGUUGGUGGAGUGAUUUGUCUGCUUUAUUGCGAUAACGAGCGAGACUCUAGCCUACUAAAUAGACCGGUCCUCAUCUUUUAGGGACCGGGUCUUCUUAGAGGGACAAGCGGUGUUCAGCCGCACGAAACUGAGCAAAAACAGGUCAGGAUGCCCUUAGAUGUUCGGGGCCGCACGCGCGCCACAUUGAAGGAAUCAGCGUGUGCUUUCCCUCUCCGAUAGGAGUGGGUAACCCGUUGAAACUCCUUCGUGCUAGGGAUAGGAAAUUGUAAUUGUUUUCCUUGAACGAGGAAUUCCCAGUAAGCAUUGAGUCAUCAGCUCGUGUUGAUUACGUCCCUGCGCUUUGUGCACACCGCCCGUCGCUAUUAUCGAUGAAUUUUGGAGUGAGAUCAUCGGACCGACUAGGAGAUCUGCUCUUCCGAGUGGAAAUCCGUGUUGGAAAGAUGACCGAACUUGAAUAUUAGAG